GUCGUCCAACCAACUGAGCCAUCCAGGCGUCCCGAAUUUGUCAGAGGGAGACCCAAGAUGGUGGCAUAGGAAGAUCCUGAACUCACCUCCUCACAUGGACACACCAAAUCUACAGCCACAUAUGGAUCAUCUCCCUCUGAAAAAGAUCUGCAAAAAUAGAUGAACUGCUCUCUACAACAAAGGAUAGAAGGACCACAUCAAGAUGGAGUCUAUUUCCACCCUAGAAAGUGGAGGACAGUAUGCAGGAUGAGUCUGAAGCAAGUUCAAAUGAAGAAUCAACAAGUGAAGCAAGAUAACAGGGAGGAAAAAAAAAAGGACUCAGGAAUUAGGCUGAAGAAGCUUCCAGUAACAAAGACAAGACAAUUCCAAUUUCAAUAAAGAUACAGACAUACCUUGGAGAUCCUGUGGAUACUGUCAAUCCCAGAGCACUGAAAUAAAGUAUCACAAUAAGGAAGCAUUUCUUAUUAAAGUUAUUAGGUGAAAGGACCUUAGAAUAGCAGCAUUUGGUAACUCCUGAUGUAUGAAUGGAUCCAGUCACAAGGAGCUUCCAUUACUGUCAAUUAUCACAUGACCUACAGACAUACUGUACUUCUAAACAGAAGAACCCAAUACCCCUCUAGUCUUGCCAAAGGGACAGAACCUGAAUCUGAUGAAGAUUCUGGAUGUAAAGGACAGAGGAUUAAGUUGAACUGCACCAUAAGUGUGUGAUCAGUAACUUCCAAAAUCUGGGAAAAACAAACAAACAAAAAUGGCCUUGGGGCCUUCAACAAAAUUUUGGGGGAAAAGGGGAUAGAAGGGGAGCCACAAGAUUAAAAAAGACUCAAAAAGAUACUUAAAGAAGAAAAAGUACAAGACCAAAUUCUAGCGUUUAGGAUGUACACCUGGGUGAUAAACAACAAAGGAAAACAAGGGAGUGUCGGACCAGUGGUCACUUUUGGAAGGAGGGGCUGUGAUUUGAUAGGUGCACAUGAAGCGGCCUCUGGAGAGGCUAGCAAAGUUCUUGACCGAGAUGGUAGUUUUAAGGGUGACUUGCCUUAUAUAAUGAUGCAUUAAACUAAUUUGUACAGUGA
Molecule: long non-coding RNA, 1070 nt
Organism: Neogale vison (American mink)
Lineage: Eukaryota; Metazoa; Chordata; Mammalia; Carnivora; Mustelidae
Exons: 5
Source: RefSeq, a predicted model, not a curated record